GGGCUUUGUGAUGGACACUCCAGGUCAGGGCUUUGUGAUGGACACUCCAGGUCAGGGCUUUGUGAUGGACACUCCACUCCAGGUCAGGGCUUUGUGAUGGACACUCCAGGACAGGGCUUUGUGAUGGACACUCCAGGACAGGGCUUUGUGAUGGACACUCCACUCCAGGACAGGGCUUUGUGAUGGACACUCCACUCCAGGUCAGGGCUUUGUGAUGGACACUCCACUCCAGGUCAGGGCUUUGUGAUGGACACUCCACUCCAGGUCAGGGCUUUAUGGUGGACACUCCACACUCUGAUGCCUAUCAGAAGCUUCUAAAGCCAUGACAUCAUUUUCUGGAAUUUUCCAAGCUGUUUAAAGGCACAGUCAACUUAGUGUAUGUAAACUUCUGAUCCACUGGAAUUGUGAUACAGUGAAUUAUAAGUGAAAUAAUAUGUUUGGAAAGAAUAGGACAAAUUACUUGUCAUGCACAAAGUAGAUGUCCUAACCGACUUACCAAAACUAUAGUUUGUUAAGAAGAAAUUUGUGGAGUGGUUGAAAAAUAAUUUGUAUUGACUCCAAUCUGAGUGUAUGUAAACUUAUGACUUCAACUGUAUAUGCUGUGUAUAGAGCCCCACAUUGGAGGUGUGAUAAUACCCAUACAACCUAGCGGUGAAACAGGGAAAUCGUUCCAGUCUAUUUUCCACCAUUCAUUCUUCCCAUUGGGAAUUGUUAGAAACACUUAAAAUAAGGUCUGUGUUUCAUGUAGGCUUACCCUGGCGUGACAUUUUAUUAACCUGUAAAUCUCUCUUGGACAAGAUGACUUUUAUCAAUAUAUUUGGCUCUAUUUACUCUCAGAUUUGAAAACACUAAUUAGCAUCAAAGUAGAGAUCGUGAAAAACUACAAAUACCUGCAUGUUCCUGCACGUCAUCUCAAGCUGACACCUUUACUAACAGGUAUUAUGGAAAUGUAAAACUUGCACAAGACAGUUCACAGAAUUGCAGGAAAUAAAACAGAUGUUUUUUUCUCUCCAACGUCAAGAGGGGGGGGCACUAAAAUAUUUUGCAGUGAAGUAGUGGGGCCCCCAAACGGCUACUGCCGGCCCUGGAGAUCUGGAUACAAUGCAGCUAGAUAAUAAACAAAUGAAGCAGCUGGAAGAAAUACUCACGGCCAUGAUAGAAACCAAACGUGAGUUGGCUUGGGGGUGUGGUUUGACGUCCUUGCCACCACCAAGACACACCCAUCUAUCAGAACCUUGCCUGCAGCUGUUUCCUCCCCACUCAUUCACAACAAACAAACCUCCUGUAGAUUCAGUUCAAUAACUACAGGCAGAUGUAUGGUGAGAUGCCAGAGGAAGCUUUGACUAGGUCAGUAGUCUACAGAGUAAUAUGAGAAGAAUGCAAUUGUUGAAUUUAUGUAGAUAUUCUAAACUAAGUGUUUUGAUAACUUUCAAUUGUAGUAACAGCUCCAUGUAGAAUAAACAACCCUUUACAUAAAACCAUAGAAGAA
This is a long non-coding RNA of Oncorhynchus masou masou (cherry salmon), 1489 nucleotides long. RefSeq lists it as uncharacterized. The record is from RefSeq and is a predicted model, not a curated record. Lineage: Eukaryota; Metazoa; Chordata; Actinopteri; Salmoniformes; Salmonidae. The transcript is spliced from 2 exons.